UACGAAGGGGGCUAGCGUUGCUCGGAAUCACUGGGCGUAAAGGGUGCGUAGGCGGGUUUUUAAGUCAGGGGUGAAAUCCUGGAGCUCAACUCCAGAACUGCCUUUGAUACUGAAGAUCUUGAGUCCGGGAGAGGAGACUGGAAUUCAUGGUGUAGCAGUGAAAUGCGUAGAGAUCAUGAGGAAGACCAGUGGCGAAGGCGGGUCUCUGGACAGUUCCUGACACUGAGACACGAAGGCCAGGGGAGCAAACGGG
RNAcentral lists this ribosomal RNA (253 nucleotides) under uncultured bacterium. RNAcentral describes it as "partial 16S ribosomal RNA". It matches the Rfam family "Bacterial small subunit ribosomal RNA", at positions 524 to 776 of the family's 1533-position model. The record is from RNAcentral.